AGCUCCAAUAGCGUAUAUUAAAGUUGUUGCAGUUAAAAAGCUCGUAGUUGGAUUUCUGGUGGGAGCGAUCGGUCUGGCGCUUAGCGCGAGUACUUGCAUCGUCUCCGGCCAUCCUUGGGGAGAGUUUGUCUGGCAUUAAGUUGUCGGGCAGAGGAUCCUCAUCGUUUACUGUGAAAAAAUUAGAGUGUUCAAAGCAGGCUUAUGCCGUUGAAUAUAUUAGCAUGGAAUAAUAAGAUAGGACUUUGGUACUAUUUUGUUGGUUUGCGCACCAAAGUAAUGAUUAAUAGGGACAGUUGGGGGUAUUCGUAUUCCGUUGUCAGAGGUGAAAUUCUUGGAUUUACGGAAGACGAACUACUGCGAAAGCAUUUACCAAGGAUGUUUUCAUUA
Molecule: ribosomal RNA, 387 nt
Filed under: Minutocellus sp.
Lineage: Eukaryota; Bacillariophyta; Thalassiosirophyceae; Cymatosirales; Cymatosiraceae
Also listed under: 1 other name
Description: partial small subunit ribosomal RNA
Rfam family: Eukaryotic small subunit ribosomal RNA
Source: RNAcentral